This 468-nucleotide ribosomal RNA is filed under the name uncultured bacterium. RNAcentral's name for it is "partial 16S ribosomal RNA". It matches the Rfam family "Bacterial small subunit ribosomal RNA", at positions 28 to 507 of the family's 1533-position model. The record is from RNAcentral.
GACGAACGCUGGCGGCGUGCUUAACACAUGCAAGUCGAACGGAAAGGCCCUGCUUUUGUGGGGUGCUCGAGUGGCGAACGGGUGAGUAACACGUGAGUAACCUGCCCUUGACUUUGGGAUAACUUCAGGAAACUGGGGCUAAUACCGGAUAGGAGCUCCUGCUGCAUGGUGGGGGUUGGAAAGUUUCGGCGGUUGGGGAUGGACUCGCGGCUUAUCAGCUGGUUGGUGGGGUAGUGGCUUACCCAGGGUUUGACGGGUAGCCGGCGUGAGUGGGUGACCGGCCACAUUGGGACUGAGAUACGGCCCAGACUCCUACGGGAGGCAGCAGUGGGGAAUAUUGCACAAUGGGCGGAAGCCGGAUGCAGCAACGCCGCGUGCGGGAUGACGGCCUUCGGGUUGUAAACCGCUUUCGCCUGUGACGAAGCGUGAGUGACGGUAAUGGGUAAAGAAGCACCGGCUAACUACGUG